AUGGAGAAAAAAGAAUACAUUCGUAGAAAAAUACUUAUUAACAUAGAACAUUCCUUCAUUUUCACCUUUGCUUUUUUACCCAAUUAUUUUCAAGAGUAUAGCCCAGUACUGUUGCUAGUAGCCACAUAUUGUCAUUUCCCUCAGUACCAGAAAAGUUCCCGUGCUGGUUCUCCUGAUCUGUGGAAGUCUUCCUAUUUUCUUGAGCCUCAGAAACCUGUCUUCCCUGAAACCAGAAAAACAGGUUCUUCUGGGCCAUCUGAAUCCCCCAAAGCAGCCUCAGCUAUCUGGAAGCCUGUUCUAUUGAUACUAAGCCUGGGAAACCCACCCUGUUUCCUGAGCCUGCCAAAACAGCCCCUCCUGCUUCCCCAGAGCCAUGCAAACUUGCCCUUUUUCCAGAGCCCCAGAAGCAUAUCCUUUUCCCUGAACUCCCUAAAUCUGCUAUAUUCUCAGAAUCACAGAAGGCUGUUGAGCUUGGUGAUGAACUACAGAUGGAUGCCAUAGAUGAUCAAAAAUGUGGUAUUCUGGUUCAGGAAGAACUUCUAGCUUCACCUAAGAAACGCUUAGAAAAUACUUGAUUUCCUUUCUCAAAGAAGCUCAAGAAAGACAACCAAGAGAGCUCAGAUGCUGAGCAUAGUAGUAGUGAGUACAUUAAAACAGAUUUGGAUGCAAUGCAUAUUAAGGGCCACGAAUCAAACAAUGAUCAAGAGCAGGUUGAUGUGGAAUCCACUGCUUUUAGCAAAGAGAACAAAAUGGACAUGACUAGUCCAGAGCAGACUAGAAAUGUGCUACAGUUUACUGAAGAAAAAUAAGCUUUUACCUCUGAGGAGGAGAUUGCAAAAUAUAUGAAGCGUGGAAAAGGAAAGUAGUAUUGCAAAGUUUGUUGCUGACGUGCUAUGAAAAAAGGUGCUGUUUUGCAUCGUUUGGUUAAUAGGCAUAAUGUUCAAAGCCCUUACAAAUGCACAAUUUGUGGAAAGGCUUUUCUUUUGGAAUCUCUCCUUAAAAAUCAUGUAGCAGUCCAUGGGCAAAGUUUACUUCAAUGUCCAUGUUGUAAAUUUGAAUCAAAUUUCCCAAGAGGUUUUAAGAAACAUUUAACCCAUUGUCAAAGCCGGCAUAAUGAAGAGGCAAAUAAAAAGCUAGUGGAAGCUCUUGAACCACCACUGGAAGAGCAGCAAAUUUGAUAUUUCAGCACAGUGUGAAUAUUUGCUCUGCUAAGGUGUUUGAUGAAACCAUUCUUUGUAAGUAUAGCUUAUCAAGUAGACUAGUUGGGUCAGUAGACGACAUGUAUAGUGUAUCGUGUUUCACUGUCUCAGUUGUGUUGCUAAGAAUGAGCAUUUGAUUAUUUUUCCUGGUCUCUGUCUAUGUGGCUAUCUUGUAAAUCAGUAUAUUUCCAUAUAUUCCAGGUGGAUUAAACUUCUCAUUUCUUUUAAGUAUAUCUAAAUAAUAAUACAAGGAAGUAGGCAUUCCAUUUAAUAAUCAAGAGCAAGGUGUACUCAAAGCAUUCAGUUAAAGUGUAUCUGUGUGUGGAACUAAUUUCAGACAAUAGAAACUAUUAGUUCAAAUGUUUAAGAAUUAGGCAUAAAAAAUAAAUUUGAGAAAUUUUGUUUCCUUACAUGCAUUUUUAAACCAUAAGGGUUAUUUUUUAUCUGACAUAAAAUUAGUUUAUAAAUCUUUUUUUUUUUUUUU
Molecule: non-coding RNA, 1683 nt
Organism: Callithrix jacchus (white-tufted-ear marmoset)
Lineage: Eukaryota; Metazoa; Chordata; Mammalia; Primates; Cebidae
Source: RefSeq, a predicted model, not a curated record